RNAcentral lists this microRNA precursor (101 nucleotides) under Tribolium castaneum (red flour beetle). RNAcentral describes it as "microRNA tca-mir-3804b precursor". The stretch from base 10 to 91 matches the Rfam family "mir-3804 microRNA precursor family". The record is from miRBase by way of RNAcentral. Lineage: Eukaryota; Metazoa; Arthropoda; Insecta; Coleoptera; Tenebrionidae.
CUCGGGUUAUCAGCUCAUUGCACACAACAAUGUCCACAUUCUUGCGAUUUCAUACGUCACUGGAAUGUUCCAUAAGUGUGCGAAAUCAGCGGUAGCAAAAG